Molecule: ribosomal RNA, 113 nt
Filed under: Prevotella sp.
Lineage: Bacteria; Pseudomonadati; Bacteroidota; Bacteroidia; Bacteroidales; Prevotellaceae
Source: RNAcentral
AAUGGUGGUUAUUGUAGCGGUGUCACACCUCUUCCCAUUCCGAACAGAGAAGUUAAGCCCGCUUACGCUGAUGGUACUACUGUGAGAAGUGGGAGAGUAGGAAGCUGCCGCUG